Molecule: long non-coding RNA, 491 nt
Organism: Mus musculus (house mouse)
Lineage: Eukaryota; Metazoa; Chordata; Mammalia; Rodentia; Muridae
Product: predicted gene, 35948
Exons: 3
Source: RefSeq, a predicted model, not a curated record
UGGGUGAAUAGCCAGAACUCUCAAUUUGCAGUGGUGGUCACAUCCCAUGCCUGCAAGUCCACGAGCUGGGUGGGAAUCCUGACCUGUUACCUCCUGGUAGAGUAAUACUUGGCCUAAAGGAGACAGCUGCCUUGCCAAAUGCAAACCCAGGGAACACCGCAGAAGCAGGGCAGGGAAGACAGUAGGAGCCAAGAGUGAGGGAGAUCAUCCCCAGCGUCUGGCAGGACCACACUGAUCUAUCCAUGCUGAGGAGAAUCAUGUUUUUUGCAGUUGUUGGUGCUGGAUAUGCGAGCAAAGAGGAAUUGUGGAAAAGAAGGAAUAAAAGGUGGCACAGCAGAUUGGUGUGACCUCUGCAUGUACAAAGUCCCAAAACCUCCACCCUCAGAACAAAGUCAGUAAAGCUGCAGAGUGAAAUAAAGCAUCAACACAUACACACACACACACACACACACACACACACAGGCACAUACACGCACACACACAUACAUGCA